RNAcentral lists this microRNA precursor (96 nucleotides) under Picea abies (Norway spruce). RNAcentral describes it as "miR950i stem-loop (pab-MIR950i)". Its record names the gene pab-MIR950i. The record is from miRBase by way of RNAcentral. Lineage: Eukaryota; Viridiplantae; Streptophyta; Pinopsida; Pinales; Pinaceae.
GAAAGCGAAGGUGGUCUUGACGUCUGGUCCACGAUGGUUUAUUUACCAUGUAUCAAUAAACCAUCGCGGACAGACGACACGAGCACCUUCACCUUC